UCUCCGUUGGUGAACCAGCGGAGGGAUCAUUAUCGAGUUUAUAACUCCCAAACCCUAUGUGAACUUACCACUUGUUGCUUCGGCGCGCGCUUCGGCGCCGCCGAGGACACUUAAACUCUUUGUUUUUAUAAGCAUUUCUGAGUGGCCGAAAGGCGAAAUACAAAUGAAUCAAAACUUUCAACAACGGAUCUCUUGGUUCUG
RNAcentral lists this unclassified non-coding RNA (201 nucleotides) under plant metagenome. RNAcentral describes it as "partial contains small subunit ribosomal RNA, internal transcribed spacer 1, and 5.8S ribosomal RNA". The record is from RNAcentral.